Long non-coding RNA from Panicum virgatum (switchgrass), 2553 nucleotides. RefSeq lists it as uncharacterized. The transcript is spliced from 3 exons. NCBI's taxonomy places the organism in Eukaryota, Viridiplantae, Streptophyta, Magnoliopsida, Poales, Poaceae. The record is from RefSeq and is a predicted model, not a curated record.
AUCUCGAUCAUCCGAUUGUUGCCCCCAUGCGAUCUACGCCUUCCGCUUCCUCCCCCUUCCUCCCGACCCGCCUCUCCGCCCCGCCCGACUCCCACCCUGCGCCGCUGCAACUCCCUCGCCCGCCGCGAUGCCGCCGCCCCCUGCCCCCACGCGCCCUCCCUCCUCCGCUUUCCCCUCCAUGCGCGUGGAUCGACGAGCCGCUCGUGGAACUGCCGACCUCUACUCGUGCGAAUCGACGGGCCGCAGAGCCACCGCGUGCCGCGUCCAGAUCUCCGGCUCUCUCCGCCCCCGCAUCCUUCGCCCUGAUUUGCAGCCGCCUAAGUAACCGUCUCCCCGAUUCGCCGCCCUAGGCUCAUCCCCACCAGCGCUCAACUUCAACGAAUAAUGACCUCCUCCUUCCCUUCCCCGCGCGUCAACCCCCUCCACUUCCAAGCAGUUCUCACGUGGUAUUAGAAUAGUGAAUCCUCAUUGCACUUAUCGUUUGGCUGAUCUUGAGUUCCAGACUAACCAACAGAUCGAGUUAUUCAUGGAAAUCCUGACUAAUCAAUAGAUGGAGUUAUCCAAGGAAACCAAUUCUUGUAAUCUAGUUGUGUGUUCUGAACUCCUGAUCACGUCUGCAUCACGUGUGAGGGUAGAGAAAUACAAGACAUGAUAGGUCUGUCUAUCACCAGGUCAUCAAGGUGUCUAGAAAUGACUGACCGCCGCACACGAGGGCUCGUCCGUGCGCAUUUAGAACUGACAUCUGGUAUGCCUGUUGCGGACUCCUGCUUUGCAAAUGCCAUACACAUAUGAUCCUCCACACUAUUGGAUGGGAUGAGUCAGCCAUGACUGCAAUUUGGAUCGUACUUGAUUUGGGUUCGGUUUUUCAUAGGUUAGUUCAUCUGCAUGUAUGCAAGGGCCAACCAAAUCCAACAUUGAUUGGCUGCUUGCAAACAAAAAUAAUUGUUUCUUUCAAGUGUUGAUGGGAAUGUAAUUAGUACAAUAGUGAAUUUCUUAGCAGGCUAUAGGAAAAAUUGAUUGAAUAGUGUCAGUUAAAAAAAAUAUGUUGAUGAUAUGCAUCCUGACAUGAACAGUACUCAGGAGACUUUUGACAAAUCAGGAGCAAUUUUUGAAAUUUAAAAUAGUUAGACUGCAAUGUAGUGUCUUUUUAAAUGAGGUUGUGAUUCUCAUAGUAGUGAUGACUCUGAAUUGAAUCUAUAGAUGCUUUUGUGUUUAUUUAGGCUGGAAGAUCUUUUUCUUAGUAUAAUAAGGAUGCUUGAUUUUUAAGCCACUGAACUCCUAUGAUGGUUUAGGAUGUUAUUAUAUAAAAAAAAUAUUGUUCUAUAUCCUCUGCAGAUAUAUCAGCUAUGUUAUGAUGUUUCUUGAACUGUGAAUACUGAAUAGUUACACUUUUGCUGCCCUGCUCAUUUCAUAUCAGUAUAUCACAAUGUAUGCAAAUCGAGAUGUUUAAGUGCAAUAUCUUUGCAUAAAGUAGAAACUUUUGUCAAUUGCAUGCUUAGAUGACUAAAUUAUAAUUAGACAUAGUGUAACAGCCUGACAUUCGAGAAGGCAUAGAUAUCACUCAUAUUUAUGUACACAGGCACUCGGACAUUUUUAUGCCUUGCACCUGUGUUUUUCUAGGAGAGUAGGAUUGCAAUUUUGUAUACUUCAUUAUGCUCUAUUUUACAGUUGCAUAUAUGACAUGGAAACUGGAUGAGUGAGUGCAUUUUACCACUGCAGUCAUUAAUGGAGCUGAUUCAUCAGUAAAUGGCCUUCAUUUAGAGGUUUCUCUUUUCUUGAUAUAUAUAUUCCUGAUUGAUACAUUUUUUUUCUUUGCUGCUGGUUUCUUUGAUUGUCCAUGGCUGAGGAAGCCCGUCAAGCUGCUUCGCUCCUGGCUCGUCAGGUGUGCUUGCGACCUGUUCGACGAAAUGCCGCACCCAGCUGUCAUGGACCCCGCUCGAGCUGCAGUCCAAACAGGAGUAAUGCUCAAGCAAACAGGAGUAAUGCUCAAGCCUUACUCGUGGCUGCUUAUGGAGGAUGACGUGCACUCCAAGAGCGAGAUGAGGAGAAGAUGACCACAGCCACAGGCAAAGAUGAUACAUUCAGAUAGAGGUCAAUGCUGACAAACAGAAUGCCUGUCCGGUGACAAUGGCAUUGUCUCGACGUCCCAUCACCACCGCAUUCGCGGUGCUAGAGGGACUCAACCUCUCCGUGUGUUCCUCGCUCGCUGCGGCCAUCUCCGGUGCCAUCCUCACGGGCCUACAACAUAUGUGUUGGAGGCGGACGACGUGUUUCACGACAUCAGCGCUGGGAUCGUGAGGCCAGCUUUGGCGACAGUGAGCGAGCCCAGGAAGCUGAGACAUAAAGCUAAACAAGUGCAUCAUGAGAGGGUACAAUUACUAAUGUUGUGUCUAAAUCAGUUCAUCAUGAGAGCACAUUUGGAUAAUAAACAAUGGCUAUUUUUGCAUAUACGUGCAGAUAUCAUGAUUUGGUUAAAAGCUAAUGCGCCUCAUGUAAAAUGCAAUGAUCCUUUAAGAAAUGGAAUAAAUUCUGCGGGACUACAAUUUUAUAAAA